AGCCCCAUAGCAUAGCGGCCAAGUGCACCAGCCUUUGGAGCUGGCGACCCUGGUUCGAAUCCGGGUGGGGCUA
Candidatus Nanosalina sp. J07AB43 is the source of this 73-nucleotide transfer RNA. It matches the Rfam family "tRNA". Rfam says of the family: Transfer RNA (tRNA) molecules are approximately 80 nucleotides in length. Lineage: Archaea; Methanobacteriati; Methanobacteriota; Candidatus Nanohaloarchaea. The record is from Rfam.